RNAcentral lists this ribosomal RNA (253 nucleotides) under uncultured bacterium. RNAcentral describes it as "partial 16S ribosomal RNA". It matches the Rfam family "Bacterial small subunit ribosomal RNA", at positions 524 to 776 of the family's 1533-position model. The record is from RNAcentral.
CACGUAGGGCGCAAGCGUUGUCCGGAAUUAUUGGGCGUAAAGAGCUCGUAGGCGGUCUGUUGCGUCCGCUGUGAAAACUCGGGGCUUAACCCCGAGCCUGCAGUGGAUACGGGCAGACUAGAGGUAGGUAGGGGAGAAUGGAAUUCCCGGUGUAGCGGUGAAAUGCGCAGAUAUCAGGAAGAACACCCGUGGCGAAGGCGGCUCUCUGGGACGUGACUGACGCUGAGACGCGAAAGCGUGGGGAGCGAACAGG